RNAcentral lists this ribosomal RNA (253 nucleotides) under uncultured bacterium. Its description in RNAcentral is "partial 16S ribosomal RNA". It matches the Rfam family "Bacterial small subunit ribosomal RNA", at positions 524 to 776 of the family's 1533-position model. The record is from RNAcentral.
UACGUAGGGGGCCAGCGUUGUCCGGAAUCAUUGGGCGUAAAGCGCGCGUAGGCGGCCAGAUAAGUCCGGUGUGAAAGUCAAAGGCUCAACCUUUGAAUGCCGCUGGAAACUGUCUGGCUUGAGUCCGGAAGGGGCGAGUGGAAUUCCUGGUGUAGCGGUGAAAUGCGCAGAUAUCAGGAGGAACACCAAUGGCGAAGGCAGCUCGCUGGAACGGUACUGACGCUGAGGCGCGAAAGCUAGGGGAGCAAACGGG